UCCCUGGUAGUAUAUCGGCUAGUACACGCGCCUGUCAUGUUUCUGGCCGCGCGAAAGCGGGGUUCGACUCCCCGCCAGGGAG
Molecule: transfer RNA, 82 nt
Filed under: Dichomitus squalens
Lineage: Eukaryota; Fungi; Basidiomycota; Agaricomycetes; Polyporales; Polyporaceae
Description: tRNA-Asp
Source: RNAcentral